UGGAGACUUUGAAGUGGGAAGCAGUAAGUGCCCCCUGUGCUGGGCUGUGUGCAAGGGGGGGAGGCAGCCCCUGAGGAUCAGCGCUGUGCCUUGGCUUGUGAGGAUGAGAGAAAAGACGGAAUUAAUGAGAUGGGCUCGGAUCUCCAAAGGCAAUGAAGUAAUCAGCAGCUCAGAGUCAAAAUAUCUGGAGACAUGUCAGAUGCCUUCCUUACCUCUGGUGACUGUAAAUGAAGUGCAACACAUGAAUGUAUUCCCCCCAAGAAAUGCAAUAAACUAUUUUGCUGUCAAGUGCAUUAAGAUUUCAACAUACAGUGAAAUCAUUCUUCUGCUGCUUUCCAGGUUCUUACAUGUGGAUGGCUGUUGUGCAAGAACAGAGCUACUGACCCAUCUCUGUCUUAAAAGUUCAGGUUCUUCCUCCAUGCCAGUUGUGGUCCAAGAACCUCCAGUCCUGUGCCAGCUGAUUUUGAGGGAUAUACCUAUGCUGAACCGGGGCUAACAAUGACUUAGUCUCUUCAAAUGAGAAGAGUGAGUUACUGAACCUCUCUAUUUUGUACCACAUCGGCUAUCUCAUGUUUCUGUUACUGAUUCAGAUCAGUGAUUUUUCUCAGAAUUUUUUAUUAUUUAUGCAGUUAUAGUUUCUUUGUGUUGCCAACCACUAACAGAUGGCUUAUUUCUCUAAUCAAACAGUUGUUUCAAAUGUGUGUCUAUCUAAACAAAAUAACAUGCUGAAUAUCUAAUGCUGGAAAAACAAAUUGUUU
RNAcentral lists this long non-coding RNA (758 nucleotides) under Phasianus colchicus (ring-necked pheasant). Its description in RNAcentral is "lncRNA (ENSPCLG00000020914.1)". The record is from RNAcentral. Lineage: Eukaryota; Metazoa; Chordata; Aves; Galliformes; Phasianidae.